CCAGACUCCUACGGGAGGCAGCAGUCGGGAAUAUUGCGCAAUGGAGGAAACUCUGACGCAGUGACGCCGCGUGCAGGAAGAAGGUUUUCGGAUUGUAAACUGCUUUAGACAGGGAAGAUAAUGACAGUACCUGUAGAAUAAGCUCCGGCUAACUACGUGCCAGCAGCCGCGGUAAUACGUAGGAUCCGAGCGUUAUCCGGAUUUAUUGGGUUUAAAGGGUGCGUAGGCGGUCAGGUAAGUUAGAGGUGAAAGCUCGAUGCUCAACAUCGAAACUGCCUCUGAUACUGUCUGACUAGAGUGUAGUUGCGGAAGGCGGAAUGUGUGGUGUAGCGGUGAAAUGCUUAGAUAUCACACAGAACACCGAUUGCGAAGGCAGCUUUCCAAGCUAUUACUGACGCUGAGGCACGAAAGCGUGGGGAGCGAACAGGAUUAGAUACCCCCGUAUC
Molecule: ribosomal RNA, 446 nt
Filed under: uncultured bacterium
Lineage: Bacteria
Description: bacterial SSU rRNA
Rfam family: Bacterial small subunit ribosomal RNA
Source: RNAcentral